CCCAGAACAAAACGAGUCGUGUGUGCCUACCCUUAAAUAUCGGGAGGAGGAAAUGGCAACAGUGAGACCUCAAC
RNAcentral lists this unclassified non-coding RNA (74 nucleotides) under Drosophila willistoni. RNAcentral's name for it is "GK25003". Lineage: Eukaryota; Metazoa; Arthropoda; Insecta; Diptera; Drosophilidae. The record is from RNAcentral.